AACCACUUGUGAUUUUGUGAAUGAGUAUUCUUCUCAACUAGAAGAUCCGGCCUUUCUAGAUAUUUGCAGAUCAUCAGCAAAUAAAAUGAUACCUUAAAAGGGAUGUUACAGGUUAAAAUUGGCAUUUUAUACUCUUUAUUAAAAGCACUGAUUACAGUUAUAUUUUCAAAAUAGAUAUUUUACAAAUAUUAAUGAUUGAUACUAGUAAUGCCCUUUCUGUAAUAGCCUCCCAAGUAAACCAUAGUUCUGUUCUCUAGCCAUUUCGAAUUGCAGUAUUCUUUUUUUUAAGGACACAUUUAGUUUUGUACAUUUCAGCUUCAUAUUGUACUGGUUGUCAAUGAAAUUUUAUUUAUACUCUUAUAAAACCUUAUAAAAUCUUAUAAAAUUAACUCUUAUAAAGAAAAAUAUUUUAGAAUUUAAAUUAUAUCCCAUAUUGAUUAUUUAAUUAUUUUAUAACGAAUAAUGAUUAAUUGGGCAUGUACAAUUAUUGUGUAUGUUGUACUGUUCAUAGUACAAUAUCUGAUUUUGGCUUGACCAUACCAGAUAUGCUGGUUGAUUUUACUCGGACUGACCUAUCUAAUUUUUGUGUCUCUUUUUAUCUAAUGUAAAUAUUAGUUUUCUUGGAAGAUAGCAAGAAGUUGCUGGUCUAGGCAAAAUCGAAAUUGAUUGUCAUAGUGACACAUAUUUUCAUUGCCAACUUCCUUGGGCCACAAAUUUUGUUAUUUAUUUUUUAUAAAAGGUUUUAUGGUACUUAUAAAAAAAGUUAAGUUAUUUUGUUAUAUAUUUCGAUUGGCAAUACACUUUGUGCGUGAUUGCUUAAAUACGGGUUUGACCUCUGCGGUCCUUCCUUUUCCCAGACCGCCGUCAUGAAGUGAAGAGUGCUUUAGUUCUUUUUGAAAUUCGUGUGAAUUUUACCCAUAUGGGGAUAUAAUUGACUAAAUGUGGUGAUAGUAAAUCAACUUUUUGGGCGUAAUGCUAUAAUUUGUUGUUUUGUUGAAUUUACUGGCCUUUAUGGCGAUUUAAAACCUAAUAAUUUUUCACGUGCCCUCGAACAUCGGCAAAAUAGCGGUUCUGAUUGGCAUUGGCAGGGGACAAUUUAAUUAGCAAAGCUACAUAACAUGGAUUUUGAAUGGAUUUUUUUUGUACGGACCUGAUUUCUUCAUGCCACAUGGUGCUUUCGUUUUGGGGUUAUGUACUCUACUGGCUCUAAUCUAGAAGGAGAUUUUAAGCAACUGUGAGCUAACAUCUAACCUAGACCACUACCAGAGCUUGUGAAGUGGAAGAGGUGAAGCUUGGAAGCCUGCAUUUUUUUCUUUGACUGGGAUUUGGAUGUCUGGGAGAGUCUCGAAUCUGAAGUAGUCUGCUGUGUGUGGAGCUAGGUGACACAACAUAACAUUUUUUUAUUCACUUAUUUUAUUUUUAUUAUCACAACUUUUAUCUUUUGAGUUGAGAUACAUACAUAAGCUUAUUUAAAAUUUUAUUGACAUUAUUUAAUCGAUGUUAUUUUAUUAUUGAAUAUUACUGAUAAGAGUACAUAUAUAUGUGACAAGUGACUCCUGUGAGGUAAGACGCAGCCGGCUUCGUAGUACUACGAGUAUAUACUUGGGUUAUAUUAUUUAUUUUCAGACUACUCCUAAGAUGUCAAAUUUUCUCAGAUUGGCUAGUAAAUAUUAGAGUAAACUAAUAAAAGGGUAAUUUUAAGUGGGGAAGCUUCAACAGUUAGGGUUGUUAUUUUUUUUUUGCUUAGGUCAAUGUCCGUGGCGGGAUAUACCGGGCCAUGUAAGUUAUUAGUUUAAUUGAAUUGAAGCUUCAUUCCCCAAAA
Molecule: long non-coding RNA, 1822 nt
Filed under: Anthonomus grandis grandis
Lineage: Eukaryota; Metazoa; Arthropoda; Insecta; Coleoptera; Curculionidae
Description: uncharacterized LOC126743484
Source: RNAcentral